UGCCCUCCCCUUUUUUGACCAUAGAUGUAAUUUGCAAAUGUCAUCUCGUGUUUCUCUUUCGUAUCUGCAUUUGAGAAAAGGUAUGAUUGCUGCAUCUCUGAUCCCAACUCCGGAGCUCCUCGGCACUGCCCCUCAGGAAGAGGUGUUCUCAGUGGAGCCUGGAGAGCUUGAAAAUGGUCUGAAGCCAAAAGCAGUGAGAGCCCAGUGCUUAAGACUGCCACAGGCAGAAGCGCUUGCAGAGGUCUUCAGAACUUCAGGUCAAAGGUCCAGAAAUAGACAACUGAGUCCACUCUCUCAAGUGUGCUUUGUGCCCACGGAGGAAGGUUCUUCAAAGUGACCCUGGAGAGCAGCUUUUCUAGCAACUCUGAUAAGCGUAACUGAACCAUCCAGCAUGUUUGCUUGGACAGAUUUCUAGAGAAUUCUCCGCGUCUUUUAUUUUCCCGAGGAACUCCAGUGUCCUAGAGGAAAGCUCUCAGCACGGGGUGGGAGGGGAGGUCUCGGGCUGCGCGUGUUUGCGCCUGGCUGGUCUCAGGGUGGCGGAAAGGCUUUCAGCCCGCCCUGUUUCUCGGGAAGAUCACCAGACCUUUCCAUCAAACAGGACCUUUUCCUCUGGCCCAUUUCUGUGUUCUCUUUUGGGAGAGGGUUUGGAAGGUGAGGAGGUUUAUCUAACGAAGUCCUGUUACAACACACACACACACACACACACACACACACACUUCCUUUGACAAAGCAGUUCUUCCUCAAGGGGAUCUUCGGGAACCUCGAGGAGGGUGGUGGGCUCUGUCUGAGUUGGCCAGCCACCAUGGUGGACUCACUUGGGGCAGGUACAAAAUCCAGCAGCGACGCUCGACGGGCACAGCCUGGGUCUGAAGGCUCCUGGGUGCUCUCACGGAGACCCAUCUAAAGCCCCGCCACUCCACAGAUGGCCCCUCAGCCAUCUGCCCAGGGGGUGCCAGGUCAUCCGAUGGUCCCUUUUCCUCUUGGCUGUUGCCCUCUCCACGUGACCUUCCCUGCAGGCCUCGGGGGUGUCUCUGUCCCCCAGAGUCACCUCCAAGCCUGGCUCACGUUUCCCUUGGUGGGAAGCUGGGUGGACCAGCCUCCGCACCCUCUGCCUCUGAUUCCUGGCCCCGGCUUGGGCUGAAGCUGCUUGGGAAGGCCUUUCGUGAACUCAGAGUCCGCGGUGCGCUUUCCUCCCUCUUCCCUGCCGGCCUCUGUCCAGUUCUGCAGCCAGCUUGGUAACGAACUUUUCAGGGACUGAAUCCAACAGACUUCCCACCAGAGAAGUCCUGUCCUGGGGGCAGGCAAGGGAGCAGAGCAUUGGCUGUUGCAUGUGCUGGGCCCCUCUCCGGUGUCCACGGCUUCCCACGCCUGCUUUCCCGUCUCUCCUUGGACCUGCUGCUCCCUAUUAUUUCACUUCCUCUUUUUCUACCUGAACCGUGGGUAGCCGUGCUCCCCGGCUUGCCUCCCCUGCUCUGGGAGUCUUUGCUGAGCGUGCCCAGGCCCUGCCUCGCAGACCAAGGGGGAAGGAAAGAGAAGGCUGAGGUAAAGAGAAGGGGGACCUUGGGCAGAGACCAGGCUGGACGGGAAGAGCCCUGUCUUUGGAACCUGUAGGUGGCCCCGUGUGACGGGAGAACAGUCAAAGGUGAAAAGAGAAGAGGUACAGGCAGGGGACAGGGGACAGGGUGAUGCACGUUCCUCAUGAUUUUGAAGUUGGUGCUGCGAUCUGAGUCACUGCAAUAUUUUCACCCAAGAAACCAUCUCACGUGUGCUAUCGAAGGUGGAGAGCAACAGCUGACCAGCCAGAGACGCGAGAAGGCCGGCAAACCAGCAGCACAAACAGACUGAGAGACCAUGUGACACCCAAUUUGAUUGCUGUGCGUGUAGAUUUAUCUUCCAACAGAAAAGGUCAGAUGCGUUUGUGGUGCAGAGCGGCACAUGUCCCACUGGAGAACUGGAAAGAGGCACACGUUCCCGAGCCUGAGGACCCGCCACCCCCAGAAGAAGUGCUCUGGGCACAGAAAUCACACGCCACGAGAUCUAGUUUCUCACCGAGUUUCUGGGCCUGUGGUGCAGCGUCUCUACCUUCAGGCACCAUGUUGGAUGGCGGAUCUUCCUGUCCUACUGAAUUCCGGACCCGCUGAGCAGCCGCACCUGCUCUGCUGCCCAGGACCCCUCCUACAGGGUCAUGCCGCUCUCUGACAUUGGCAAUUUCCACGCAGAUCUUCACGUUGACAGGAUUUGCUGCACCUAAGAUCCCAUCCAUGUGGGGUGGCUUUGGUGUUAGGGUGCUCCUCACCCUUCUUUCCUGGCAUGACCCCUGCAGGGGAGAGAAGUUCAUUUUGCUCAUGGUUUCGGAGGUCUCAGCCCACAGAAGGCCGACUCCAUGGAUCUGGGUCCAGGAUGCAGCAGCUCAAGGUGGGAGGGUGGGGGGAGGCUGCUCUGCUCAGGGCGGCCAGAGGAGGAGGGGGCCUCCUGGAAGAUGCCACUUCUGGGGAGCCCCAGUGGCCACCUCCUCAUGCCCCACCUGCCCACAAGAGCCAGCCAUCGGUCCAGGAUGGACUGCCAGGUCCCAGCCCUCACAGUCCAGUCAGUUCACCUCGGAAUAUCCCUGCAUCCGCUCGACUUUCAUUCAAACCACCAAGUGAAGCAUGUCUUACUAGAGGGUGACUUUAGGGUCACCGUUUGGAGAUGAAGAACACUUCUUGUGAACUAAGAAUUAAGUCGAAGCGUGGGGCGUUUUGUGUUGGGAAGAGCCCCGUUAAUUGGUGAAGGGGGAGGAACGGCAGUGAGGUGGGGUGGUGACCACAAGGUCCUUCUCUGUGGAGCAUCAGCACCUGGAGGGUGAGCAGCCACUCCACUGCUCACAGACGCCAGCUUCCCCAGCUUGCUGAGCUGGACACAGGGCUGUGAUCUCCCUGGUGGCACAACAUCAGGCCCGGUGUCACCACAUCCAGGUGGGCACAGACGCCGUGGAGCCACCCAGGGGUGGGGGCCGUCCCUGCAGGAAGACCUCUGCCAGUGAUGUCUGCUGUAGACCAAAAUCAGGUGGCGUCACAGAUGGCAUGGCGAGAUGAAUAGCAGGCGGGGUGGGCAAGAGUCACAGAGGAUGCCUGUGAGUUCUGGUGUCGUUUCGACGUAGGACUUUGACCUCAGUGGGGCUCCGUAGCACCUGGACACUGGGUUGGCGUCUGGGUCCACCGCCCACCUGGCUGCUUGCUCAGCUCCUCUGAGACCAUCCUGCCCUCGGGCACCCAGCCACAUCCCCUCUUUCUGCUCCAGGAAGCCCCCCCACCCCCCACCCCACCCUCCGCCAAGCCGCUUUCCUCUUCCUUUGUCACCAACUCCCCCCUCCUGCCUCAGCGCACCACUGCAGAGACAUGCUGCCCCCCAGCUUGCCAAGCUCCCCACCGGGAGCACACAGGCGGCGGCCAUGCCCGGGGUCCCUGCCAGUUCCAGCCCAGCAGCAGGGCCACCACCAGCAGAGCCUUCCCCGCUGCCCUGCUGCGGCCGACGUGCGUCUUGGAGCAUUUACUGUCCCUCUCACAAGACUGCACCACGGUAAAGGGAAUCCAGAGCCACACAGAACAAGGACGCCUGGUCACGGCCUGGUGGCAGUUCUGAAAGCCGGAGAGUUUAUAUUCCUGAAGCUAAGACUGAAGACAGUGUUUUCCUUCCUGUUAGGAAAGACGGGACAGAUCUUUGCUCAGCUUCCUAGUACCCGUGCCUGGGAAGCUAGUCCACGUCACAUGAACUGCCACCACAAUUGCAUAUUUGCAAAUAUUUACAUACCGACUUCUUAAUUAAAAAAAAUUCCUCCCAGAUUAUCAA
Ictidomys tridecemlineatus (thirteen-lined ground squirrel) is the source of this 3828-nucleotide non-coding RNA. The record is from RefSeq and is a predicted model, not a curated record. NCBI's taxonomy places the organism in Eukaryota, Metazoa, Chordata, Mammalia, Rodentia, Sciuridae.